Molecule: long non-coding RNA, 531 nt
Organism: Toxorhynchites rutilus septentrionalis
Lineage: Eukaryota; Metazoa; Arthropoda; Insecta; Diptera; Culicidae
Exons: 3
Source: RefSeq, a predicted model, not a curated record
GUGCAACGCGGCUAUGGAGCACUUAAUCGAUAGCUAUAAAGAUUAAUCUAAUCAGCACUGCGUAUUUCACGGCGUUUUAUAGACUUUGUUUAUAAUAUCAGCUCAAUCGGUUUCUCAUUUGCGAGUUACAGGAUGUUCACUAUGGAAGUCAACAAAGAGGAAAUUCGGUACAAUUUACACUUUUUCUUUUAUAAAGGCGAAAAUGCAAACUAGGCCGCUGAAAUUGUGGAUGGUGAUGAAUGGUGCCGAUACUGUAACAUGCAAUACACAAAAUUCUGAUGUCUGCAGUCAACAAAUGGACCGUUUGAAGCUAGCGAUUGACCAGAAACGUCCAGAAUCGACCAACAGAGGAGCUGUUUUGUUCCAUCUGGACAACGCAAGGCCACAAAACCACGGGAUCUUGACUAGGAAGUUUUAAUGCAUCCACCAUAUAAUCCGGACCUGGCUCCAAGUGAUUACCACCUUUUUCUCGCAUUGCAAAACAUCCUGAGGGAUAAGAAUUUGGGAUCAAGAGAAGAUUGUAAAAAUCUA